GAGAAGUCUGACGGAGCAACGCCGCGUGAACUGAUGAAGGCCUUCGGGUCGUAAAGUUCUUGUUGUUAGGGAAGAACAAGUGCUAGAGUAACUGCUAGCACCUUGACGGUACCUAACCAGAAAGCCACGGCUAACUACGUGCCAGCAGCCGCGGUAAUACGUAGGUGGCAAGCGUUGUCCGGAAUUAUUGGGCGUAAAGCGCGCGCAGGCGGUUUCUUAAGUCUGAUGUGAAAGCCCACGGCUCAACCGUGGAGGGUCAUUGGAAACUGGGAAACUUGAGUGCAGAAGAGGAGAGUGGAAUUCCACGUGUAGCGGUGAAAUGCGUAGAGAUGUGGAGGAACACCAGUGGCGAAGGCGACUCUCUGGUCUGUAACUGACGCUGAGGCGCGAAAGCGUGGGGAGCGAACAGGAUUAGAUACCCUGGUAGUCCACGCCGUAAACGAUGAGUGCUAAGUGUUAGAGGGUUUCCGCCCUUUAGUGCUGCAGCAAACGCAUUAAGCACUCCGCCUGGGGAGUACGGUCGCAAGACUGAAACUCAAAGGAAUUGACGGGGGCCCGCACAAGCGGUGGAGCAUGUGGUUUAAUUCGAAGCAACGCGAAUAACCUUACCAGGUCUUGACAUCCUUCGCUACUUCUAGAGAUAGAAGGUUCCCCUUCGG
RNAcentral lists this ribosomal RNA (659 nucleotides) under Bacillus sp. CJHH2. RNAcentral describes it as "bacterial SSU rRNA". It matches the Rfam family "Bacterial small subunit ribosomal RNA", at positions 377 to 1024 of the family's 1533-position model. The record is from RNAcentral. Lineage: Bacteria; Bacillati; Bacillota; Bacilli; Caryophanales; Bacillaceae.